CGAACGGCAGCACGGACUUCGGUCUGGUGGCGAGUGGCGAACGGGUGAGUAAUGUAUCGGAACGUGCCUAGUAGCGGGGAUAACUACGCGAAAGCGUAGCUAAUACCGCAUACGCCCUUCGGGGGAAAGCGGGGGACCUUCGGGCCUCGCACUAUUAAGAGCGGCCGAUAUCGGAUUAGCUAGUUGGUGGGAGUACAACAGCUCGCAAGGCGACGAUCAUGGCUGGUUUGAGGACGACCAGCCACACUGGGACUGAGACACGGCCCAGACUCCUACAGGGAGAGGCAACAGUGGGGAGUGCGGACAAUGGGGGAAACCCUGAUCAGCCAUCCGCGUGUGCGAUGAAGGCCUUCGGGUUGUAAAGCACUUUUGGCAGGAAAAGAAACGGCACGGGAUAAUACCCCGUGCAACUGACAGCAAACCUGCAGAAUAAGCACCGGCUAACUACGUGCCAGCAGCCGCGGUAAUACGUAAGUGCAGCGUUAAUCAGGGUACGGGCGCUAAAGCGUGCGCAGGCGGUUCGGAAAGAAAGAUGUGGAAUCCCAGAGCUUAACUUUGGAAUUCAUUUUUAACUACCGAGCUAGAGUGUGUGUCAGGGAGGUGGAAUUCCGCGUGUAGCAGUGAAGUAAAGUAAAUGCAGGAAGACACCGAUGGCGAAGGCAGCCUCACGGAUAACACUGACGCUCAUGCACGAAAGCGUGAACAAACAGGAUUAGUCACCUGGUGGUCUGCCUAAACGAGCGUCUCAACUAGCUGUUGGGGCCUUCGGGCCUUGGUAGCGCAGCUAACGCGUGAAGUUGACCGCCUGGGAAGUACGGUCGCAAGAUUAAAACUCAAAGGAAUUGACGGGGACCCGCACAAGCGGUGGAUGAUGUUAGUUAAUUCGAUGCAACGCGAAAACCUUACCUACCCUUGAGCAUGUCUGGAAUCCCGAAGAGAUUUGGGAGUGCUCGCAAGAGAACCGGAGCUUGCAGGUGCUGCAUGGCUGUCGUCAGCUCGUGUCGUGAGAUGUUGGAUUCAGUCCACAACAUUUGCAGCCAUGUCAUUAGUUGCUACGAAAGGACACUCUAAUGAGACUGCCAGGUGACGUGGAGAAGGUGGGGAUGACGUCAGAGUCCUCAUGGCCCAUAUGGGUGGGGCUUCACACGUCAUACAAUGGUCAGGACAGAAGGUCGCCAACCCGCGAGGGGGAACCAAUCCCAGAAACCCGAUCGUAGUCGGAUCGCAGUCUGCAACUCGACUGCGUGAAGUCGGAAUCGCUGGUAAUCGCGGAUCAGCAUGUCGCGGUGAAUGCGUUCCCGGGUCUUGUACACACCGCCCGUCACACCAUGGGAGUGGGUUUUACCAGAAGUAGUUAGCCUAACCGUAAGAGGGCGAUUACCACGUGAGAUUCCAUGACUGGGGUGAAGUCGUAACAAGGUAA
This 1423-nucleotide ribosomal RNA is filed under the name uncultured Bordetella sp. RNAcentral describes it as "partial 16S-23S ribosomal RNA intergenic spacer". It matches the Rfam family "Bacterial small subunit ribosomal RNA". Lineage: Bacteria; Pseudomonadati; Pseudomonadota; Betaproteobacteria; Burkholderiales; Alcaligenaceae. The record is from RNAcentral.